AUGAAGAACAUGAAAGACGCAAAGACCAAGGUUUUGUCCUCAACUACGAGGGGAGGUAAGGAACUGCCAUCUAGCUUUGCACUAGAUUCUCCUUCCGUUAUUAGUAGGCUUGUGACACCUAAACCUGCUACUGCUAUGAAUUCUGAUAUGUCGCAUGUUAUUGAUGAUGCCACUUCUGCUAUGCAUGAUGAAACUACUUCUGUGCGUGAUACUACUUUGCCAUUAGGUGAAUUUCUUGAUGAACAACUUGCUAGAGUUAGGGGGAAUGAAAAUAUUAAAGAACCUAUUAUUGAUGAUAGUGAUGAUGAACCUUUCCCCAAUGAUUAUGUAUUACCUGUUGUUCGUAAGGGUUAUGUUAUGAACAAAGAAGCUGCUGAAGCUAUUCUUGCUUGCAAUGAUAGAAAUGAUCUUAAGAAAUUAUUAACUAAAUGGAAGCAGCAGUCUCUUAAUGCUAGAAUGAAA
RNAcentral lists this ribosomal RNA (462 nucleotides) under Triticum aestivum (bread wheat). Its description in RNAcentral is "partial small subunit ribosomal RNA". The record is from RNAcentral. Lineage: Eukaryota; Viridiplantae; Streptophyta; Magnoliopsida; Poales; Poaceae.